GGCUGGCGGCGUGCUAAUACAUGCACGUCGAGCGAAUCACAGGGAGCUUGCCCCUGAGAUAGCGGCGGACGGGUGAGUAACACGUGGGUAACCUGCCUGUAAGACUGGGAUAACUUCGGGAAACCGGAGCUAAUACCGGAUAAUUUCUUUUCUCGCAUGAGGGAAGAUGGAAAGAUGGUUUCGGCUAUCACUUACAGAUGGACCCGCGGCGCAUUAGCUAGUUGGUGAGGUAACGGCUCACCAAGGCGACGAUGCGUAGCCGACCUGAGAGGGUGAUCGGCCACACUGGGACUGAGACACGGCCCAGACUCCUACGGGAGGCAGCAGUAGGGAAUCUUCCGCAAUGGACGAAAGUCUGACGGAGCAACGCCGCGUGAGCGAAGAAGGCCUUCGGGUCGUAAAGCUCUGUUGUUAGGGAAGAACAAGUACGAGAGUAACUACUCGUACCUUGACGGUACCUAACCAGAAAGCCACGGCUAACUACGUGCCAGCAGCCGCGGUAAUACGUAGGUGGCAAGCGUUGUCCGGAAUUAUUGGGCGUAAAGCGCGCGCAGGCGGUCCUUUAAGUCUGAUGUGAAAGACCACGGGCUCAACGUGGAGGGUCAUUGGAA
RNAcentral lists this ribosomal RNA (611 nucleotides) under uncultured Bacillus sp. Its description in RNAcentral is "bacterial SSU rRNA". It matches the Rfam family "Bacterial small subunit ribosomal RNA", at positions 34 to 631 of the family's 1533-position model. The record is from RNAcentral. Lineage: Bacteria; Bacillati; Bacillota; Bacilli; Caryophanales; Bacillaceae.